GAAAUGCGAUAAGUAGUGUGAAUUGCAGAAUUCAGUGAAUCAUCGAAUCUUUGAACGCACAUUGCGCCCCUCGGUAUUCCAUGGGGCAUGCCUGUUCGAGCGUCAUCUACACCCUCAAGCUCUGCUUGGUGUUGGGCGUCUGUCCCGCCUCCGCGCGCGGACUCGCCCCAAAUGCAUUGGCAGCGGUUCCUUGCCCCCCUCUUUGCGCAGCACAUUGCCAUUCGAGGCGGCGGCGGCCCGCGUCCAACAAGCUCAACCCCCCCGUCUUUGACCUCGGAUCAGGUAGGGAUACCCGCUGAACUUAAGC
RNAcentral lists this unclassified non-coding RNA (307 nucleotides) under plant metagenome. RNAcentral's name for it is "partial contains 5.8S ribosomal RNA, internal transcribed spacer 2, and large subunit ribosomal RNA". The stretch from base 1 to 105 matches the Rfam family "5.8S ribosomal RNA", at positions 50 to 154 of the family's 154-position model. The record is from RNAcentral.